This 497-nucleotide ribosomal RNA is filed under the name uncultured bacterium. Its description in RNAcentral is "partial 16S ribosomal RNA". It matches the Rfam family "Bacterial small subunit ribosomal RNA", at positions 28 to 507 of the family's 1533-position model. The record is from RNAcentral.
GAUGAACGCUGGCGGCGUGCCUAAUACAUGCAAGUCGAGCGAACAGACGAGGAGCUUGCUCCUCUGACGUUAGCGGCGGACGGGUGAGUAACACGUGGAUAACCUACCUAUAAGACUGGGAUAACUUCGGGAAACCGGAGCUAAUACCGGAUAAUAUAUUGAACCGCAUGGUUCAAUAGUGAAAGACGGUUUUGCUGUCACUUAUAGAUGGAUCCGCGCCGCAUUAGCUAGUUGGUAAGGUAACGGCUUACCAAGGCAACGAUGCGUAGCCGACCUGAGAGGGUGAUCGGCCACACUAGAACUGAGACACGGUCCAGACUCCUACGGGAGGCAGCAGUAGGGAAUCUUCCGCAAUGGGCGAAAGCCUGACGGAGCAACGCCGCGUGAGUGAUGAAGGUCUUCGGAUCGUAAAACUCUGUUAUUAGGGAAGAACAAAUGUGUAAAUAACUAUGCACGUCUUGACGGUACCUAAUCAGAAAGCCACGGCUAACUACGUG